This 553-nucleotide ribosomal RNA is filed under the name uncultured bacterium. RNAcentral describes it as "bacterial SSU rRNA". It matches the Rfam family "Bacterial small subunit ribosomal RNA", at positions 8 to 560 of the family's 1533-position model. The record is from RNAcentral.
AGAGUUUGAUCAUGGCUCAGGAUGAACGCUGGCGGCGUGCCUAACACAUGCAAGUCGAACGAAGCAUGACCCUUGAGGCCUUCGGGCGGAAGGGGCCAUGACUUAGUGGCGGACGGGUGAGUAACGCGUGGGUAACCUGCCCUAUACUGGGGGAUAACAGCUAGAAAUGGCUGCUAAUACCGCAUGAGCGCACAGUCCCGCAUGGGACAGUGCGGAAAACUCCGGUGGUAUAGGAUGGACCCGCGUCCGAUCAGCUGGUUGGUGGGGUAACGGCCCACCAAGGCGACGAUCGGUAGCCGACCUGAGAGGGUGACCGGCCACAUUGGGACUGAGACACGGCCCAAACUCCUACGGGAGGCAGCAGUGGGGGAUAUUGCACAAUGGGGGGAACCCUGAUGCAGCGACGCCGCGUGAGUGAAGGAGUACUCCGGUAUGUAAAGCUCUAUCAGCAGGGAAGAACAAAGACGGUACCUGACCAAGAAGCCCCGGCUAACUACGUGCCAGCAGCCGCGGUAAUACGUAGGGGGCGAGCGUUAUCCGGAUUCACUGGGUG